AGGGAAUCGCACGAAUGGAAAUGUGCGUCCAAGCAGUGAGUGUGAGAAGUAGGCAAAUCCGCUUCUCGCGAAGCAUGAGCUGUGAUGGGGAAGGAAAUUAAGUACGGAAGUUCCUGAUUUCACGCUGUCAAGAAAAGCCUCUAGGAAGAGUAGUACUGCCCGUACCGCAAACCGACACAGGUAGAUGAGGAGAGAAUCCUAAGGUGAGCGAGAGAACUCUCGUUAAGGAACUCGGCAAAAUGACCCCGUAACUUCGGGAGAAGGGGUGCUCUAUUAGGGUGCAAGCCCGAGAGAGCCGCAGUGAAUAGGCCCAGGCGACUGUUUAGCAAAAACACAGGUCUCUGCAAAACCGUAAGGUGACGUAUAGGGGCUGACGCCUGCCCGGUGCUGGAAGGUUAAGAGGAGUGCUUAGCUUCGGCGAAGGUACGAAUUGAAGCCCCAGUAAACGGCGGCCGUAACUAUAACGGUCCUAAGGUAGCGAAAUUCCUUGUCGGGUAAGUUCCGACCCGCACGAAAGGCGCAACGAUCUGGGCACUGUCUCAACGAGAGACUCGGUGAAAUUAUAGUACCUGUGAAGAUGCAGGUUACCCGCGACAGGACGGAAAGACCCCGUGGAGCUUUACUGCAACCUGAUAUGGAAUGUUUGUACCGCUUGUACAGGAUAGGUAGGAGCCGAAGAGACGUGUGCGCUAGCAUACGAGGAGGCAAUGGUGGGAUACUACCCUGGCUGUAUGACCAUUCUAACCCGCCACGCUUAGCGCGUGGGGAGACAGUGUCAGGUGGGCAGUUUGACUGGGGCGGUCGCCUCCUAAAGAGUAACGGAGGCGCCCAAAGGUUCCCUC
RNAcentral lists this ribosomal RNA (842 nucleotides) under Listeria monocytogenes. RNAcentral describes it as "bacterial LSU rRNA". It matches the Rfam family "Bacterial large subunit ribosomal RNA", at positions 1484 to 2323 of the family's 2925-position model. The record is from RNAcentral. Lineage: Bacteria; Bacillati; Bacillota; Bacilli; Caryophanales; Listeriaceae.